RNAcentral lists this ribosomal RNA (344 nucleotides) under uncultured bacterium. RNAcentral describes it as "bacterial SSU rRNA". It matches the Rfam family "Bacterial small subunit ribosomal RNA", at positions 30 to 373 of the family's 1533-position model. The record is from RNAcentral.
AUUGAACGCUGGCGGCAUGCUUUACACAUGCAAGUCGAACGGGUAACAGGUCUUCGGAUGCUGACGAGUGGCGAACGGGUGAGUAAUGCAUCGGAACGUGCCCAGUCGUGGGGGAUAACGCAGCGAAAGCUGUGCUAAUACCGCAUACGAUCUAUGGAUGAAAGCGGGGGAUCGCAAGACCUCGCGCGAUUGGAGCGGCCGAUGUCAGAUUAGCUAGUUGGUGGGGUAAAAGGCCCACCAAGGCGACGAUCUGUAGCUGGUCUGAGAGGACGACCAGCCACACUGGGACUGAGACACGGCCCAGACUCCUACGGGAGGCAGCAGUGGGGAAUUUUGGAACAAAU